RNAcentral lists this long non-coding RNA (1338 nucleotides) under Nothobranchius furzeri (turquoise killifish). RNAcentral's name for it is "lncRNA (ENSNFUG00015017427.1)". The record is from RNAcentral. Lineage: Eukaryota; Metazoa; Chordata; Actinopteri; Cyprinodontiformes; Nothobranchiidae.
UGGUACUGCAUCCCAGACUUUCAAGUUUGCUGUAAAAGAACCGUUACUUUAAAAAAAACUGAUCUGAUCCAGCACUUCCAGUGGGUUUUAGAACUAUUUAGUCAACCAACCAACCAACCAACCAACCAACCUACCUACCUACCUACCUACCUACCUACCUACCUACCUACCUACCUACCUACCUACCUACCUACCUACCUACCUACCUACCUACCUACCUACCUACCUACCUACCUACCUACCUACCUACCUACCUACCUACCUACCUACCUACCUACCUACCUACCUACCUACCUACCUACCUACCUACCUACCUACCUACCUACCUACCUACCUACCUACCUACCUACCUACCUACCUACCUACCUACCUACCUACCUACCUACCUACCUACCUACCUACCUACCUACCUACCUACCUACCUACCUACCUACCUACCUACCUACCUACCUACCUACCUACCUACCUACCUACCUACCUACCUACCUACCUACCUACCUACCUACCUACCUACCUACCUACCUACCUACCUACCUACCUACCUACCUACCUACCUACCUACCUACCUACCUACCUACCUACCUACCUACCUACCUACCUACCUACCUACCUACCUACCUACCUACCUACCUACCUACCUACCUACCUACCUACCUACCUACCUACCUACCUACCUACCUACCUACCUACCUACCUACCUACCUACCUACCUACCUACCUACCUACCUACCUACCUACCUACCUACCUACCUACCUACCUACCUACCUACCUACCUACCUACCUACCUACCUACCUACCUACCUACCUACCUACCUACCUACCUACCUACCUACCUACCUACCUACCUACCUACCUACCUACCUACCUACCUACCUACCUACCUACCUACCUACCUACCUACCUACCUACCUACCUACCUACCUACCUACCUACCUACCUACCUACCUACCUACCUACCUACCUACCUACCUACCUACCUACCUACCUACCUACCUACCUACCUACCUACCUACCUACCUACCUACCUACCUACCUACCUACCUACCUACCUACCUACCUACCUACCUACCUACCUACCUACCUACCUACCUACCUACCUACCUACCUACCUACCUACCUACCUACCUACCUACCUACCUACCUACCUACCUACCUACCUACCUACCUACCUACCUACCUACCUACCUACCUACCUACCUACCUACCUACCUACCUACCUACCUACCUACCUACCUACCUACCUACCUACCUACCUACCUACCUACCUACCUACCUACCUACCUACCUACCUACCUACCUACCUNUUCUAUUCUAUUCUUAGCCUAAUCUGUUUAUAG